CUACGGGUCGCUGCAGUGAGGAAUAUUGCACAAUGGGGGCAACCCUGAUGCAGCAACGCCGCGUGGAGGAUGACGCAUUUCGGUGUGUAAACUCCUUUUAUCAGAGAAGAACCAUGACGGUAUCUGAUGAAUAAGCUCCGGCUAACUCCGUGCCAGCAGCCGCGGUAAUACGGAGGGAGCAAGCGUUAUUCGGAAUCACUGGGCGUAAAGGACGCGUAGGCCGGUCUGUAAGUCAGGUGUGAAAUGCAAUGGCUCAACCAUUGAACUGCACUUGAAACUGCGGACCUAGAGUAUGGAAGGGGCAGAUGGAAUUAGUGGUGUAGGGGUAAAAUCCGUAGAUAUCACUAGGAAUACCGAAAGCGAAGGCGAUCUGCUGGGACAUAACUGACGCUGAGGCGUGAAAGCGUGGGGAGCAAACAGGAUUAGAUACCCUAGUAGUC
Molecule: ribosomal RNA, 440 nt
Filed under: uncultured bacterium
Lineage: Bacteria
Description: partial 16S ribosomal RNA
Rfam family: Bacterial small subunit ribosomal RNA
Source: RNAcentral